AUACUUACCUGGACGGGGUCGAUGGGUGAUCAGAAAGGCUCAUGGCCUAAGCAAGCGGCCUCCAUUGCACUGAGGAGGGGCGCUUGCCUAAGGUCUCCCCUAGUGGGAGAGCCUACGUCAUAAUUUGUGGUAGUGGGGGCCUGCGUACGCGCGGCCCCUGU
This is a small nuclear RNA of Theobroma cacao (cacao), 161 nucleotides long. It matches the Rfam family "U1 spliceosomal RNA". From Rfam's summary of the family: U1 is a small nuclear RNA (snRNA) component of the spliceosome (involved in pre-mRNA splicing). Its 5' end forms complementary base pairs with the 5' splice junction, thus defining the 5' donor site of an intron. The record is from Rfam. NCBI's taxonomy places the organism in Eukaryota, Viridiplantae, Streptophyta, Magnoliopsida, Malvales, Malvaceae.